CCUACGGGAGGCAGCAGUGAGGAAUAUUGGUCCAUGGGCGGAAGCCUGAACCAGCCAAGUCGCGUGAGGGAUUAAGGCCCUGCGGGUCGUAAACCUCUUUUGCCGGGGAGCAGUGGUCCGGACGCGUCCGGACCGUGAGAGUACCCGGAGAAAAAGCAUCGGCUAACUCCGUGCCAGCAGCCGCGGUAAUACGGAGGAUGCGAGCGUUAUCCGGAUUUAUUGGGUUUAAAGGUUGCGUAGGCGGGCAUUUAAGCCGGCGGUAAAAUGUCGGGGGUAAACCCCGGCCUGCCGUCGGAACUGGGUGCCUUGAGUGGGCGAGAAGGAUGCGGAAUGCGUGGUGUAGCGGUGAAAUGCAUAGAUAUCACGCAGAACCCCGAUUGCGAAGGCAGCAUACCGGCGCCCUACUGACGCUGAGGCACGAAAGUGCGGGUAUCGAACAGGAUUAGAUACCCUAGUAGUC
Molecule: ribosomal RNA, 460 nt
Filed under: uncultured bacterium
Lineage: Bacteria
Description: partial 16S ribosomal RNA
Rfam family: Bacterial small subunit ribosomal RNA
Source: RNAcentral